AAAAAAUCACCAUGCAGCAUUAAUUUUUUGAAAUUUUACAGGAAAAUUAAGAAAAACAGGGAGAGAAAUGAAAAAUGUUCUUAUUACAGCAAUAAAGUUAAUUAAAAAGAACUAACUUAUCAAUUAUUAUCGACUUUAAAAUGCCGACUCUCUCUAAAAACCCGAUUUCCUCGGCAUGGUUGUUGGCAGACAGCGCGGAGGCGGAGCGACGACUGCCUGAGGCUGAGGACUGAUUGAGGGAAGCAAUACAGGAGCUACAGAGGCAUCAUAGGAUGGCGGCGAGUGGCGACGACACCCCGUACGACCAUGCUGAUGAUCCUGCGUGGCCAACGCCAUUGGUAAUUUCUGCCAAAGCUUUCUCCUCUGUUAUGGCGUUAGAGUAGGCAUCGGGAUUCUUUCUCGCACUUUCAAGCUCGCCAGAGGACAAUCGUAUUCGUUGCUUCUUGAUCUCAAGAUUAGGGUUUUAACCAAUCAAACAAAAUCUUAUUGAGCUAAUAAAAUUGAACUCUUAAAAAAAGAAGCGGUGGCUAAUGAGAUUUGAUGAUUCUUUUGUAGAAUUAUCCUUAGAUUACAUUUAACCCAAAAUGAAAACUAAAACAUGAAAGAUAUUCAAAUUAUCCCCAGAUUAGGAAAUAAAAGAGAAGAUAAAAUUGAAUAAUAUUACUCACAGUAAGCGGUAGAAAGUCUUGAACAACGUUGCCUUCAGCGGAAUAGUAGACAAAACUUACGUUUCUUCCAUGCCCAAAACAACAGCCCUGUUAGCAAAACGAUUUGGGGAAGAAGAUUGCCAUUGUAGAGUAAUAAUAAGAAAAUUGCCUUGUACAACCAUCUCCAAAAGUAAAUUUCCCAGCGUCACAUUUGUGGAGUUCCUUCAAAAUGUCUUUGUUUAUAGUCUCUUGAAAAAUUACAACCAAAAUACUAAACCUUCUCUAUAAUCGAUACUCGAUCACCAGUU
Molecule: long non-coding RNA, 955 nt
Filed under: Gossypium barbadense (sea-island cotton)
Lineage: Eukaryota; Viridiplantae; Streptophyta; Magnoliopsida; Malvales; Malvaceae
Description: long non-coding RNA (GBAR_LNC014246)
Source: RNAcentral